Brachypodium distachyon (stiff brome) is the source of this 336-nucleotide long non-coding RNA. RefSeq lists it as uncharacterized. The transcript has 3 exons. The record is from RefSeq and is a predicted model, not a curated record. Lineage: Eukaryota; Viridiplantae; Streptophyta; Magnoliopsida; Poales; Poaceae.
GAUUAUGUGGACCCAGAUUGCUUCAAUGUGGCUGUGCGUGUACUAGCGAGCCACCCAUCAAACUUAUGUAGAGAUCAGCUGGUUCACUUAAUGGAUCUGAAGUUUUGCACGAUGUCCAAAUUUGCACGAGACGCGGGUUGUCGUGAAAUGUUAGACAUUGAACAGCUAGCACAAUUGUUUCGUAGCUGGCCUAGCUGCAUCGACGAGUACCGUAUCUCAGAUUGUGACACGAUUUAUUUGCCUUAUGAAAUUUAUGGGCUAUAUAUGUUGUUCGUCUUCAACCUUCAAAAAAAAUUGUCUAUAUUUUGAAUCCGCUUCCAAUACAAUCUUGGGGGG